GACGGAGGGGGCAAGCGUUGUCCGGAAUCACUGGGCGUAAAGCGCACGUAGGCGGUGCGGUGCGUCGGUGCUGAAACCGCGGGGCUCAACCCCGCGCCGCGUGCCGAUACGACCGCACUGGAGGCAGGCAGAGGGUGGCGGAAUUCCGGGUGUAGUGGUGAAAUGCGUAGAGAUCCGGAGGAACGCCUGUGGCGCAAGCGGCCACCUGGGCCUGACCUGACGCUGAGGUGCGAAAGCGUGGGGAGCGAACCGGAUUAGAUACCCGGGUAGUCCACGCCGUAAACGAUGCCGGCUCGGUGCCUGGGGCCCGUUCCGGGCCCUGGGUGCCUCAGCUCACGCGGUAAGCCGGCCGCCUGGGGAGUACGAGCGCAAGCUUAAA
This 379-nucleotide ribosomal RNA is filed under the name uncultured bacterium. RNAcentral's name for it is "bacterial SSU rRNA". It matches the Rfam family "Bacterial small subunit ribosomal RNA", at positions 524 to 898 of the family's 1533-position model. The record is from RNAcentral.